Molecule: long non-coding RNA, 814 nt
Filed under: Chlamydomonas reinhardtii
Lineage: Eukaryota; Viridiplantae; Chlorophyta; Chlorophyceae; Chlamydomonadales; Chlamydomonadaceae
Description: long non-coding RNA (CREI_LNC000316)
Source: RNAcentral
UUCGAUUAGCUCUAUCAGAUGGCAUCUAUUUCUUCCCAACUCUUGACGUAGCGGACCGCAAGUUAAUUUACCCGCGCAUCAAGCAUGUUAUGGCAGAUAUAGAUUAUGCGAAUUUCUUAACGGCACAGAAGCGCCUCAAAGGCAUCAACGUGGCCGCGGUAGCAAGCUUUGGUGUCCACAAGAACAUGCACAUUGAAUCUACAACUAAAAUAUACAAGUACCUGGAGGUCUUAGGCAGUAAGUUUAAUUUUGGCGUCAGCCAGGUCCGGCACGACCCGCGUCUCUUUCAUCACGCUGAGCUGACACGGGCGAAUGGCACUGGGAUACGGGUGUACAUAUGCAGGGCCCACGACACCCACCACACGAAUUUUUUACAGUUUUCUGUGAAGACACAAACAAGGACAUCACUACCACCCAGCUGUUGUCGGCGCUGCGCACCUGUACAUUGUGGACAUCCCGGACAAUGUGGCUGACACGAUGCCAGAAGUAAAAAGUAUCGGCAGUGACUUGGCUGCCCUUAUAACUACCAAUGACAUGGUUUCCCUGGGAGCAAGCAUGACGGCUGGGCGCAAGGGCACAGGCAGAUACUACAUCGACAGCACAUCUCUGCACACUGAUGGUAUUGUCUUGGGUCCACGUGGAGCCAAACGCUUGGCAACCUCCUGCAUCAAAAGUUGGCGAGAGUCAAAUCUGGACGUCAUCUGGUCACUCAUAGAGCCUCUGUUUCAAGCUGGUCCAGGCCCCUCUGGGGCAGGGCCGUCUGGGGCAGGUCAAGCUGGUGCCCAGCCAGAUGAGGAGGGUGGGCUCGAGGAGG